AUGCCCACUCUGGGUGAACUGCAGAGCCCCAUGCUGGUGGAAUCUGUGUGUGUCGAGCCUGACACAAGGCAUGCACUUUAUGAUCAGCCCUGCCAUGCGGAGAUCCGGUUCAGUGCAGCCAAAUAUGCUGAGAUCUCUAUGUUCUCGGAGCUCGCGGCUCAGAAAAAUGCUGUGCAGUUCUUGCUUCUUCGAGUUGCUGAGAGUUAUCUAUGAAGAGCGCUGAGGAUGGUGCUAUGGGUGUUCAUCUGGGUGAGUGUGAGCUUUUUUCAUCAUGCCGCUCACAGCCCAGCGGGGUGUGACACUCUGAUGGGGGAAGCAUGGGGUGCAAUAUGAGGAGAAGGAAGAGUACCUCCUUAGCCAGGGGCACUGGAUGUGGCACCCACUUCCCUUGAGAGGCCAUGAGCUGCUCAAGGGCAAGGACUGUGUCAUAGUCAUUGAUACCUUCCAGGGUAUGGCAUCAUGUGGGCUCCCAGAAUGCAGCAAAGGUCUGCUAAAUGAAGGAACGGAUGGAAAGGUGGAUGGAUACAUGAAUGGAUGGAUGGACGGAUAGAUGAAUAGAUGAAUGAAAUAAAGAACAGGUAGAUGGACAAAUAGGUGGAUGGAUGAACAGAUGGAUGAAUGAGUGACUGAGGGAAUGGAGGGACAGAUGAAUGAAUGAAUGGAUGGACAGAUGGAUGAAUGAAUGGAUAGAUGAAUGAAAGGACGGACAGGUAGAUCAACAGACAGAUGGAUAAAUGAAUGAACAGAUGAAUUAAUGGAUGGAUGGACAGAUGAAUGGAUGAAUGAAUGGAUGGAUAGAUAGGUGGAUAAAUGAGUGGAUGGACAGGUGAAUGGGUAGAUGGAUUAAUGAAUAGAUAGAUGGAUAAAUGGGUGGAUGGGCAGAUGGAUGGGCUGAUGGAUGGAUAAGUGGUUGGACAUAUGGAUAAAUGGAUAAGUGGGUAGGUGAAUAGAUGGAUGAAUGAGGGUGUGGACAGGCAGAUGAAUGAAUGAAUGCAUGGACAAAUGGAUGGGUGGAUGGAUGGAUGAACGUAAGUAUGGAUGGAUGGACAGAUGGAUAGCAUUAUGAUCCUGGACUUAUGGACAGGUGGAUGGAUGGAUGAACGUAAGUGUGGAUGAAUGGACAGAUGGAUAGCAUUAUGAUCUCGGACUUAACUCACUCUCACUGUUACAAGUAGAUGUACGAGGCUGUGUGAUGUAGAUUCCUGACCCUAUGCUUUUCUUAGGUCGUUGUUUUUUAAAAUUUGCUAGCACGUUGUCAAGUCUCUUACUUCAAUUGGUAUGACAUCUUGUCCUUCAAGAUAUCUGCAGUUUCUGGACAAGUGUCUCCCUCAUCCAAUAUCAGUUUUCAGCCUUUUGGAUCAGAAGGACCACACCCUACUAAACUUCCUGCCCUUGUGAGGAGCCUCACUGUUUCUAGAGUGACCACCAAUAACUCAGAACCUUCAGGCCAGUUCACAACCUCCCCUAUAGGCCAGCUGGUCACCUCCCAGAGGAUACUCUUCUUUUAAAGCCAGGUAUUUCAGCAAGACAAAAAUGCCAUCUGCGCUCUCAAGGCUGCAUUUUUUUACCUUUGUCCUAAGAUCCCCUGGAUGCCAGAUGCUGGUUUUUUUCUGACACUAGUCGUUUAAAACAAGUGGAGGCUUUUGCGUGGGGCCAGGUGGGUCAGAGACCUUUGAGAAGGGACUGGCUACACCUGGAUUAUGCCUUGUGCAAUGUGCUCUGUGAGUCCCCUGAUUCUGUUGCCUUGCCUGUCACCCACCUGCUGGCUCUGAUCUUGAACUGGCCCCUUGGAGGUGGUGUCCCAUCCUCCCCCAUCUAGGCUUGAUGUCUCAGGUCACUGACCUGGUUUCUGGCCUGAACUAGCUCCACCUGGGCUGGACUCAGUACCCAGUCUCUCUCUCCCUGCCUGACCUGCUCCUUGUUACUUCUUAACUUUGGCAUCAGCGGCUUAAAGGGGACCCACACAACUCAGAGGCAGUGAGGAACAGGGCAGACUUCUUUGGCUGUGGUACUCAGCAGCCACUGUUAAAUCUUUGUAAGCCGUCUUAUCUUGGGUCAGCCCAGCAGGGACAAAAAAGAAAAAAAGGCAGUGUAUUUGGGAAGUGUUCCAGGGAUGCCAAAUGUAGGACUGGGGGAAUGGGCAGAGAAAAAGUGAGAGGCAUUUUCAGGAUGCAAGACAGGGUUGCUCACAGCUAAGGGGGAGGACCAGUACUCCACUGGCUGGAAUCUUCUGAAGAGCCUUUUGGAAUGCCUUUUGGAACUGUCUCCCAGGGCUCAGGUGGGGAGUCUUUCCUCUUUUGGCUCCUCUCCUCCCACAGGCCAAGGGUGACCCUGGGCAUAAACACCCCUGCACUUUGGAACGGUGCCUGUGUGAAUGUUCAGUGGAUCCCCGCAGGAGUCCCCAUCUUCCUUAGCAUCAGGGAAGGUCUGAGGCAGAAAGUGAGAGAGGCCUGAGGUGUGGAGUCCAGGAGAGGAAGGUGACAUCCCUGAAGCAGAUUGAAACCUGCUAGUUUGUCACAGGCUGAGGCAGCGGUGACUAGACCAAGAGGUCCAGACAUACAGAUAGGCAGUGGUGCUCAGAAGGUGUCCAGUGUUGUGAAAUGAGGGGUGUC
Callithrix jacchus (white-tufted-ear marmoset) is the source of this 2612-nucleotide long non-coding RNA. NCBI's taxonomy places the organism in Eukaryota, Metazoa, Chordata, Mammalia, Primates, Cebidae. The record is from Ensembl.